Hordeum vulgare subsp. vulgare (domesticated barley) is the source of this 46-nucleotide non-coding RNA. NCBI's taxonomy places the organism in Eukaryota, Viridiplantae, Streptophyta, Magnoliopsida, Poales, Poaceae. The record is from Rfam.
UUUUAGGUUCUCUUUGGAACCACACAAAUUAUGAUAAACUAAUUUU